UAGGGAAUCUUCCACAAUGGGCGCAAGCCUGAUGGAGCAACACCGCGUGAGUGAAGAAGGGUUUCGGCUCGUAAAGACUCUGUUGUUAAAGAAGAACACGUAUGAGAGUAACUGUUCAUACGUUGACGGUAUUUAACCAGAAAGUCACGGCUAACUACGUGCCAC
RNAcentral lists this ribosomal RNA (165 nucleotides) under uncultured bacterium. RNAcentral's name for it is "partial 16S rRNA". It matches the Rfam family "Bacterial small subunit ribosomal RNA", at positions 355 to 511 of the family's 1533-position model. The record is from RNAcentral.